GGGGUGUAGCAAUACACUCGCUGGCGACCGGCAAACGGGUGCGGAACACGUACGCAACUUACCCAGAACUGGGGGAUAGCCCACCGAAAGGUGGAUUAACACCCCAUAAGAUAGUAGAGUGGCAUCACUUAGCUAUUAAAACUCCGGUGGUUUUGGAUGGGCGUGCGGCUGAUUAGGUAGUUGGUGAGGUAACGGCUCACCAAGCCUGCGAUCAGUAACUGGUGUGAGAGCACGACCAGUCACACGGGCACUGAGACACGGGCCCGACUCCUACGGGAGGCAGCAGUAAGGAAUAUUGGUCAAUGGACGCAAGUCUGAACCAGCCAUGCCGCGUGGAGGAUGAAGGCCCUCUGGGUUGUAAACUUCUUUUAUGUGGGACGAAACCCGGGUAUUCUUACCCGAUUGACGGUACCAUAGGAAUAAGCACCGGCUAACUCCGUGCCAGCAGCCGCGGUAAUACGGAGGGUGCAAGCGUUAUCCGGAUUCACUGGGUUUAAAGGGUGCGUAGGCGGACAUGUAAGUCAGUGGUGAAAUCUUCGAGCUUAACUCGGAAACUGCCGUUGAUACUAUAUGUCUUGAAUGUUGUGGAGGUGAGCGGAAUAUGUCAUGUAGCGGUGAAAUGCUUAGAUAUGACAUAGAACACCAAUUGCGAAGGCAGCUUGCUACACAAAUAUUGACGCUGAGGCACGAAAGCGUGGGGAUCAAACAGGAUUAGAUACCCUGGUAGUCCACGCCCUAAACGAUGGAUACUCGACAUACGCGAUACACUGUGUGUGUCUG
This 780-nucleotide ribosomal RNA is filed under the name Flavisolibacter sp. RNAcentral's name for it is "bacterial SSU rRNA". It matches the Rfam family "Bacterial small subunit ribosomal RNA", at positions 71 to 849 of the family's 1533-position model. The record is from RNAcentral. Lineage: Bacteria; Pseudomonadati; Bacteroidota; Chitinophagia; Chitinophagales; Chitinophagaceae.